UACAGGGGGUGCAAACGUUGCUCGGAAUUAUUGGGCGUAAAGCGCGCGUAGGCGGCUACUUAAGUCGGAUGUGAAAGCCCCUGGCUCAACUGGGGAAGUGCACCCGAAACUGAGUAGCUUGAGUGCAAAAGAGGGCCGCGGAAUUCCCGGUGUAGAGGUGAAAUUCGUAGAUAUCGGGAGGAACACCGGCGGCGAAGGCGGCGACCUGGGUCGAUACUGACGCUGAGGCGCGAAAGCGUGGGGAGCAAACAGG
RNAcentral lists this ribosomal RNA (253 nucleotides) under uncultured bacterium. RNAcentral describes it as "partial 16S ribosomal RNA". It matches the Rfam family "Bacterial small subunit ribosomal RNA", at positions 524 to 776 of the family's 1533-position model. The record is from RNAcentral.